CGUCUCCUGGAAUGUGCGCCAGUUGGUGUCGUCCUUGAGCCGUUAGAGAAACUAAAGGAGACUUCGGCGCCGGUACCGGUGUGCCAGCCCAUCGCAGGCUUAUAUAAGGUCUAAAACCGUAGUAAGACUGAAUGGGAAGCCUUAGGUCUUGCCCGGGUCCCCGCCUUGAGCCAAAACGGUUCAGGGCAAACCAACAGCGGCAUUUCGGGAGGCUU
RNAcentral lists this non-coding RNA (215 nucleotides) under Pseudomonadales bacterium. RNAcentral describes it as "6S RNA". It matches the Rfam family "6S / SsrS RNA". Rfam says of the family: E. coli 6S RNA was the first non coding RNA to be sequenced, but its function was unknown until recently. It consists of 184 nucleotides that fold into an extended hairpin structure with a large single-stranded internal bulge. The 6S RNA specifically associates with RNA polymerase holoenzyme containing the sigma70 specificity factor. The record is from RNAcentral. Lineage: Bacteria; Pseudomonadati; Pseudomonadota; Gammaproteobacteria; Pseudomonadales.